Molecule: transfer RNA, 73 nt
Filed under: Leguminivora glycinivorella
Lineage: Eukaryota; Metazoa; Arthropoda; Insecta; Lepidoptera; Tortricidae
Description: tRNA-Gly
Rfam family: tRNA
About the family: Transfer RNA (tRNA) molecules are approximately 80 nucleotides in length. Their secondary structure includes four short double-helical elements and three loops (D, anti-codon, and T loops).
Source: RNAcentral
GUCUUGGUGGCUCAGUUGGCAGAGCGCUGGAGUACCGAUCCGGAGGCCGUGAGUUCAAGUCUCAGCCAAGACA